Molecule: ribosomal RNA, 503 nt
Filed under: Gnaptorina longicornis
Lineage: Eukaryota; Metazoa; Arthropoda; Insecta; Coleoptera; Tenebrionidae
Description: partial 16S ribosomal RNA
Source: RNAcentral
AAAAACAUGUCUUUUUGUUUAUGAUUUAAGGUCUGGCCUGCCCAAUGAUUAUUAUUAAAUGGCUGCAGUAUUUUGACUGUACAAAGGUAGCAUAAUCAUUAGUUUCUUAAUUAGAAGCUGGAAUGAAUGGUUUGAUGAAAAAUUUGCUGUCUCAAUUUAAUUGUAUUACAAUUUUAUUUUUAAGUGAAAAAGCUUAGAUUUUUUAAGAAGACGAGAAAACCCUAUAGAGGUUUAUGUAUUUAAUAUUUAUUUUUUUAUGGUUUUAUUAUUUUUAAUUUUUUAUUACAUUUUGUUGGGGUGAUGCGAAAAUUUUUUUACCUUUUCUUGAUUUUUACUCUGAUUAGUGAGUUAAUGAUCCUUUUUUGGAUUAUAAGAUUAAAUUACCUUAGGGAUAACAGCGUAAUUUUUUUUGAAAGCUCUUAUUGAUAAAAAAGUUUGCGACCUCGAUGUUGGAUUAAAGUUUAUUUUUGGUGUACAACCUAAAAAAUUAGGCCUGUUCUACC